Pygocentrus nattereri (red-bellied piranha) is the source of this 348-nucleotide long non-coding RNA. RefSeq lists it as uncharacterized. The record is from RefSeq and is a predicted model, not a curated record. The transcript has 3 exons. Lineage: Eukaryota; Metazoa; Chordata; Actinopteri; Characiformes; Serrasalmidae.
ACAAAUUCAUUUUCUUCACAACUGUUCAUACAGCGCUGCGGAAUCAAAACGUCACAGCAGAAUGAAUGGCAAGCCAAUUCUCACCGGAUGUGGUUCUGACGACAUCUGACGGAGCAGAGACACUGCCAUCAAAAUCAGCGCUUCAGUCCACACAAGACUCUUAAAAAAGGCCAGCAAGAAUUGGUUCAGCUGCAGUGUGGCCUAAUGGACGUGAAGUGCAAUACGACCGGAUGUGGACCUGGAACUGGAAAAGGUUACAGAAGGACUUGUACCUCCGUCAGCCCACAGUCAGACAGUUUAUAAAUGGAAGAAAUGCAGCACCGCUGCAAAGGUAAUGUUAAGAGUCUU